RNAcentral lists this ribosomal RNA (1332 nucleotides) under uncultured bacterium. Its description in RNAcentral is "bacterial SSU rRNA". It matches the Rfam family "Bacterial small subunit ribosomal RNA". The record is from RNAcentral.
AGAGUUUGAUCAUGGCUCAGAACGUACGCUGGCGGCACGCCUAACACAUGCAAGUCGAACGAAGUAGCAAUACUUAGUGGCAGACGGGUGAGUAACAUGUGGGUAUCUGCCCUUUGGCCUGGAAUAACACGAGGAAACUUGUGCUAAUACCGGAUAAGUCUUUACAGAGAAAGCUUUAUGCACCAUUGGAUGAGCCCGCACUUGAUUAGUUUGUUGGUGGGGUAAUGGCCUACCAAGACUUUGAUCAAUAGCUGAUUUGAGAGGAUGAUCAGCCACAUUGGGACUGAGACACGGCCCAAACUCCUACGGGAGGCAGCAGUGGGGAAUCUUGCACAAUGGAGGAAACUCUGAUGCAGCGAUGCCGCGUGAGUGAAGAAGGCCCUUGGGUUGUAAAGCUCUUUCGUCGGGGAAGAAAAUGACUGUACCCGAAUAAGAAGGUCCGGCUAACUUCGUGCCAGCAGCCGCGGUAAUACGAAGGGACCUAGCGUAGUUCGGAAUUACUGGGCUUAAAGAGUUCGUAGGUGGUUGAAAAAGUUGGUGGUGAAAUCCCAGAGCUUAACUCUGGAACUGCCAUCAAAACUUUUCAGCUAGAGUUUGAUAGAGGAAAGCAGAAUUUCUAGUGUAGAGGUGAAAUUCGUAGAUAUUAGAAAGAAUACCAAUUGCGAAGGCAGCUUUCUGGAUCAUUACUGACACUGAGGAACGAAAGCAUGGGUAGCGAAGAGGAUUAGAUACCCUCGUAGUCCAUGCCGUAAACGAUGUGUGUUAGACGUUGGAAAUUUAUUUUCAGUGUCGCAGCGAAAGCGAUAAACACACCGCCUGGGGAGUACGACCGCAAGGUUAAAACUCAAAUGAAUUGACGGGGACCCGCACAAGUAGUGGAGCAUGUGGUUUAAUUCGAAGAUACGCGCAGAACCUUACCAACACUUGACAUGUUCGUCGCAACUUUAAGAGAUUAAAGUUUUCGGUUCGGCCGGACGAAACACAGGUGCUGCAUGGCUGUCGUCAGCUCGUGUCGUGAGAUGUUGGGUUAAGUCCCGCAACGAGCGCAACCCUCACUUUUAGUUGCCAUCAUUAAGUUGGGCACUCUGAAAGAACUGCCAGUGAUAAGCUGGAGGAAGGUGGGGAUGACGUCAAGUCCUCAUGGCCCUUACGUGUUGGGCUACACACGUGCUACAAUGGUAUCUACAACAGGAAGCAAAACAGCGAUGUUAAGCAAAUCCUUAAAAGAUACCUCAGUUCGGAUUGCACUCUGCAACUCGAGUGCAUGAAGCUGGAAUUACUAGUAAUCGUGGAUCAGCGUGCCACGGUGAAUGCGUUCCCGGGUCUUGUAGA